RNAcentral lists this ribosomal RNA (253 nucleotides) under uncultured bacterium. RNAcentral's name for it is "partial 16S ribosomal RNA". It matches the Rfam family "Bacterial small subunit ribosomal RNA", at positions 524 to 776 of the family's 1533-position model. The record is from RNAcentral.
UACAGAGGUCUCAAGCGUUGUUCGGAUUCAUUGGGCGUAAAGGGUGCGUAGGCGGCGCGGUAAGUCGGGUGUGAAAUCUCGGGGCUUAACUCCGAAACUGCCUUCGAUACUGCGGGUCUCGAGUCCGGGAGAGGUGAGUGGAAUUCCUAGUGUAGAGGUGAAAUUCGUAGAUAUUAGGAAGAACACCAGUGGCGAAGGCGGCUCACUGGCCCGGUACUGACGCUGAGGCGCGAAAGCGUGGGGAGCAAACAGG